Molecule: ribosomal RNA, 253 nt
Filed under: uncultured bacterium
Lineage: Bacteria
Description: partial 16S ribosomal RNA
Rfam family: Bacterial small subunit ribosomal RNA
Source: RNAcentral
UACGAAGGGGGCUAGCGUUGUUCGGAAUUACUGGGCGUAAAGCGCACGUAGGCGGAUAUUUAAGUCAGGGGUGAAAUCCCGGGGCUCAACCCCGGAACUGCCUUUGAUACUGGGUAUCUCGAGUCCGAGAGAGGUGAGUGGAAUUCCGAGUGUAGAGGUGAAAUUCGUAGAUAUUCGGAGGAACACCAGUGGCGAAGGCGGCUCACUGGCUCGGUACUGACGCUGAGGUGCGAAAGCGUGGGGAGCGAACAGG